Molecule: long non-coding RNA, 710 nt
Organism: Cervus elaphus (red deer)
Lineage: Eukaryota; Metazoa; Chordata; Mammalia; Artiodactyla; Cervidae
Exons: 5
Source: RefSeq, a predicted model, not a curated record
GCUCUGAAGGAUUUGCACGUGGGUCUGCCUGUUAAUGGGGAUGUGCUGGUGUAAUGAGCUUUUAAUUAGGUCAGCUCCAUGCUUGACCACACAGAACUGUUGGGCCACGUCUGAGGAGCCUACUCACGGGUACGGAACACAGGUUGUUCUAAUCACUGAGAGGGAAAUGGAGGCCUCUCUGAGCAAAUCCAGUGUGUAAGCCACCACCCAAACACUGAUGACACCCAGAAUUGUCCUAUGUCUCCUGGGAAACCACCACAGCAUCUCUGUUCUAAAUUGUCCACUGCUCCCACUGGUUGUUUACCUUCGAAGAACCACAUCAAGAAAAAAGGGGAUUAUAAGCUCCACAAGAACAGGGACACGGUCUGUUCGACUCACCACUGCAUAACCCAUGCCUGGCAUUUUGGAUGACCUCAAAAAAAGAGCUGUUGAAUAAAUCAGUGCAAUUGAAGCCUCAGUUGAUCUUCUGAGGAACUCUGGAGCUGAGAUGACCCUUCAGAGAUGUCUGAAUGAAGGAUCCUCCCAGAAGAAGAUGUCCUAACUUCAGUGCAACAAAAACCUGAGCGAUAACAUCAGAUUUUGCCAGAAUGGAGUUACAUCCUGGCUGUCAUACAGAAACCCAGGCCUCCGACAGUGAGCACACUAUUAUGCCACAUUCUUUCAACAACUCCAGGAGAAUGGAGGAAAACAAUGACAUGGGUAAUUUAAAA